RNAcentral lists this long non-coding RNA (3915 nucleotides) under Bos taurus (domestic cattle). Its description in RNAcentral is "long non-coding RNA NONBTAT031552". The record is from RNAcentral. Lineage: Eukaryota; Metazoa; Chordata; Mammalia; Artiodactyla; Bovidae.
AAUAAAUCAAUGGAAAUUUUCAUUUUUAUUGAUAAACCAUGAUUUCCUAUUGAAUACAUAAUCAAGUACAAUUAACAAUAUAACAGCACUCUAAAAUUUAAACUUUCAGAAUCACCCUGGUUCAAUAUAUAAAGCUUUAGUUUCUGUGAAAAAGUUUUAUUUCAAUAGUAUCCUUCUUAUAUGCAAACAAGGUCCUAAAAUAGAUUUAUGAAUAAAAUUUUAUAAAGCAUACUGUGUACAGAAGAAAUUGACUCUACCACAUCAACUGCACCCCAGUAAAAAUCCAAAACAUACAGGUGUGAAGGACCAGAAUAGAGCCACAUUCUAUUAAAUCUAUCAAAGUUAAAUCUAAAGAUCUGUAAGUGGAACAUGGAUCUAUCCUCUACCACUGAUUCAAUACCCUGACAGCACGGUGGUAAAUCAUGGCCUCAUGACACGGAAUUUUUCUUAAAUAUGUACCAAUAUCAUUACAAAGACACACACAUACCAAUGUGUAAGUGUCUUGUGAAUUGAGAAACUCAGAAAUCACCCAGGAAAUAUCUAUUUCCCUGUAUUAUAACUACUGAAAUGAAACGGCAACAUUUUAUGGAACAAAGCAUGUGGCACCGUCUUCUGAUGAGGCACAUGAAAACACAACUCAAUGGCUAGAAUAGUUUUGAAACAAGCCUACUCACAACUGAUAUAUUCUUCAUUAAAAAUGUAUAUUUAUUGCUUAGUUUCCUGAAGAAAGUAGUGAUAAAAAUAACUGCACCUCAAAUUACUCCCAAUACAACUUAAGAUAUUUAAUAUUAACAUGAAUAUCAAUUGAGUAGACGACAGGAAAUUUUUAAGUUCUUAAAUGUGGUAUGCUUUACUGGAAUUUGAAAACAAACAAAAAAUAGUAUAUUCUUCUAAUAGAAGCCUCUUAGGGUAUAUAAGGGUACAUAUACUUAAGGUUCUGAAGCUUCUCCAAGAGUCAGUCUACUAACUGUCUUAAAUUUACAAAAUGCAAGAAAAUGAUGCACCCAAGAAUAAGUAAUGGCACCUGGACCCAUGGGAGCUACCUGAUGAACUCCAAGUAAGUACUGUCUUUAUGAUAAAGAACCUUGUCAGGGAGGUAUUUAUAACAUAUUUUUAUAAAAAUCAGUAUUAAACUUUAAUAAAGCCAAUUAGAAGUGAGGUUAUUACAAAAAACUCCAGAUUACAUGCUGGAAGACUAAUAAAAUGGCUCCUUUAAAGAAUGAUAAAGAAAAAUCAUAGCUCCAAUUUUUAAAACUGGAUAGUCAGAAAUGUUGAAUGAUAUCAAAAUGAAUGAUAUCAAAAUAAUUGAAUUGGAUCAAAAUAAUCAAAAUAAAGAUUACUAGCAUUCUGUUGCCAGAAUAUUUGUAACUAAAUUUAACAUAAAAAGUAAUUAUGGUUAAAUAUAACCUUUUUAAAAAAAUCAUUACACUCAGGCUCAAAAAAUGGAAGCAGGGAGACUUAUGCUAUGUACAAUUCUGAAAAUUCCCACAUGUAGAAUAUAGCACUGCAUACGUAAGGAACAAAAUGUUAGGCAAUAAGCAUAUAUCUGGAUUUUAACACAAUGUUCCACAGAUUAAAUAUAACCAAAAUACUAAACCAAAUUUAUUGUUAGAGUAUUUUUUAAAACAUUAAGUAUAACAGGACAAUACAAUAAAAGGAAUCUUUUCACUGACCCAACAUAUUUUAAUGGGUUUUAAUUACUUUUUUAGAAUUAUAACUAAAGGCAGUAACAUGCUGAAACCAAAUAUACUAGCGUUGAUCUGUCCUUGAAUUUAUGUGGCUACUAGUUAUUCCCAACAUUCCGUGUCUGGAACCCCUGGCCAGUCAAAACUGGAAGUGACAUAUGCUGGUGUCUUAAUAAUGAGGUUCCCACUCAGCAGGAAAGAAGGAGAGACUUCAGAUUUAUAUCAGUGAAUGAAACUGAGGGCACUGGAGAAGUUUCAGGAAAGUAAAAGGCAAAACAAGGUUUUUAGUAUUGUUACUCAUAGCAUGUGCAGAAAAGAGUGAAUGACGCCAGUUCCUGCUACUACUGCUCUCCUUUAACCCAGACGCCUGCGGCUUUUUUGGACCCUCUUCAUCCCAGCCCGGCUGUCACAGAGCCUGCCUCCAAGAGGCAUCCCCACUGCCUGCACACCUCCAACCACGGACCACUCUCUCCCCCACUCCGUCCGCUCCUGCUCUUCCUCCUCAAUCCCAUCCUCCACCUCACUUUCAAUACAAAGCUGUUGAUGGGUAGUCAGAGUUUCUCUAGGCAGCAGGGCUGGGGAAGCGGGAUCCUUUGCCAACCCUCCUCCAAGUUCAUUUUAAGAUAUUUUCACCUCCAAAGAAGUCCUAACAUAUAAAAGCCAAAAAUCCCACACAGGGAGGUCCAAACCCAAGUGUCUUUUUCAGAUCAGACUGUUUCAAAGGGGUAACACAACUAAAAACUUUUCCCCACUUGAAAGUAUAUACAAGAAAAUUAUAUAUUUGUUAUUUAACUGCUCUCUCUCCAUAGACCACCCUCUGAGGAUCUAUCUUCUACAUUCAGAAUUUAAGCUUUGAAAACCUGAAUAUUAGUAAUUCCUACCUUUGUGUCCAAAAUAUCCAUAAGCAAUCCAUGAAUAUCCACUCCACUGUAAUUUCUUUAAAGUCACUAAAAUAAAAACAUUCUUUCCAAAAUUCACUUUAAAAUAUAUUAUUUAUAUAUUUUAAUUUUGGAUUUAUUUUUAAACAGCUGAAAAUAGUAUAACGCAGCUUCUUUGGAGCCCAUGAUAAUUACAUUUCUACAUCCCCUUGAGAUAAAUGCUGAGUUCAGGAGUAAAAAUUAAACCACUUUUUGGAUUUAGUAAAAGAUCUUUACAUUUUUUGAUGUAUCUAAAAUAUUUCAAUAUUUUUCAAAUGGAAAGAAGAAACAAAGAAGAGAACGAAAGGAAAAAUAAAAAAAAAAAGAAAGAGGUGAGAAAAGAGGACAAACAGGAAAGGGAGAAGAAAGGAAUCUUUCUUUAAAACUUCACUCACAUUAAUGAGUAUUAUUCUUCUGUACCAUGUAACCAAUGAGCCAGAUGCUCAAAAUUCAAGAAUCUUCUGUAAGGUUCAGAGCAAGCAUUAGAUGUCAGUGUACAGCUGGUGGUCUGAUGCUCAGAUACCUGAAUCUAGAAGGUUCCACAGGACCCUGGCCAACAGUGUACAGUACUUCACAUCUCUCUGACCCCCAUCAAACCCCAGCUUCCUUCCCAGACAACAGGGAGGUCAGUCUGCUGCAUCUCAUACAGGAUUCAGUUGUGUCCCCCUGGUGGCUCAGAUGGUAAAGAAUCCACCUGCAAAGCAGGAGACCUGGGUUCAAGCCCUCGGUUGGGAAAAUCCCCGGGAGAAGGGAAUGGCUACCCACUCCAGCAUUCUUGGGGAGAAUUCCAUGGACAGAGGAGCCUGGUGGACUGCAGUCCAUGGGGUCGUAAAAAGUCAGACAUGACUGAGUGACUAACACUUUCAUUUUCCAACUGAGCAUUCCCCAUGACUCACAUGUGUCUCCUGGUCUAGGAUCUUGUCCAAGUCCCAUAAGGCACAUGUGGCAAUGCUCUGUGACCCUCAGCCAGAACAAAGCCUGCAUGUGGGGCUGGAGGCUGGGUACACAGAGAUCACCCAGGGCUCCUCUGAUCACUUUUCAGUGACCUCAACCUCUGAGCCAUGGGCAGCACAGUAAAGACCAGUCUCUCUGCUUCUCUCCAGAGGGAAAACAGGCAAAAACCAAGGGAUGGGGUAUGUGACUACAUCUAGAGUGGAACAAUAUCAUUUUCCUUAAAAAAAAAAAAAUCACCACCUCCAUCCUAAAGAAAAACACUACAUCUGAUCAAGAAAGAUGUACUGAGACCAUGGGCUUCCCAGGGGGCACUAGUGGGAAAGAACCUGUCUGCCAACGCAGGAGACAUGGGUUCAAUC